RNAcentral lists this ribosomal RNA (608 nucleotides) under uncultured bacterium. RNAcentral describes it as "bacterial SSU rRNA". It matches the Rfam family "Bacterial small subunit ribosomal RNA", at positions 338 to 951 of the family's 1533-position model. The record is from RNAcentral.
CCUACGGGAGGCAGCAGUGAGGAAUAUUGGACAAUGGGCGCAAGCCUGAUCCAGCCACGCCGCGUGCAGGAUGACGGUCCUAUGGAUUGUAAACUGCUUUUGUACAGGAAGAAACCCUUUCACGUGUGGAAGAUUGACGGUACUGUAAGAAUAAGGAUCGGCUAACUCCGUGCCAGCAGCCGCGGUAAUACGGAGGAUCCAAGCGUUAUCCGGAAUCAUUGGGUUUAAAGGGUCCGUAGGCGGUUUAGUAAGUCAGUGGUGAAAGCCCAUCGCUCAACGGUGGAACGGCCAUUGAUACUGCUAGACUUGAAUUAUUAGGAAGUAACUAGAAUAUGUAGUGUAGCGGUGAAAUGCUUAGAGAUUACAUGGAAUACCAAUUGCGAAGGCAGGUUACUACUAAUGGAUUGACGCUGAUGGACGAAAGCGUGGGUAGCGAACAGGAUUAGAUACCCUGGUAGUCCACGCCGUAAACGAUGGAUACUAGCUGUUGGGCGCAAGUUCAGUGGCUAAGCGAAAGUGAUAAGUAUCCCACCUGGGGAGUACGUUCGCAAGAAUGAAACUCAAAGGAAUUGACGGCUGAGACAGCGAGACGACGACGAGGGAGGAGG